UGAUGUAACUUUUGAAACUAUUAUAAUGUUCACGACAGGAUCAAAAUCAAUACCACCUUUUGGGUUUGAUCCUAGCCCACCAGUCACCUUCUGGAAGGAACGAUUUCCGAAGGCAACAACAUGUACCAACACUCAUGUUCUGCCAACACUAUGUACCAGUUACGACUCAUUUGUGCAAAACAUGAAGUUCGGUAUUUUUAAUACACAAGGCUUCAUGUUGGAGUGAAUUUAAAAGUUAUAAUUGUAUGUGUGCAUGACUUGGUAUGUAUGUUGUUUUUUUUUUGGUU
This 287-nucleotide long non-coding RNA is filed under the name Mytilus galloprovincialis (Mediterranean mussel). The record is from RNAcentral. Lineage: Eukaryota; Metazoa; Mollusca; Bivalvia; Mytilida; Mytilidae.